Molecule: ribosomal RNA, 253 nt
Filed under: uncultured bacterium
Lineage: Bacteria
Description: partial 16S ribosomal RNA
Rfam family: Bacterial small subunit ribosomal RNA
Source: RNAcentral
UACGGAGGGUGCAAGCGUUAUCCGGAUUCACUGGGUUUAAAGGGAGCGUAGGUGGGGUGGUAAGUCAGUGGUGAAUUCUCCGGGCUUAACUCGGAAACUGCCGUUGAUACUAUCAUUCUUGAAUAUUGUGGAGGUAUGCGGAAUAUGUCAUGUAGCGGUGAAAUGCUUAGAUAUGACAUAGAACACCGAUAGCGAAGGCAGCUUGCUACACAAUUAUUGACACUGAGGCUCGAAAGCGUGGGGAUCAAACAGG